Non-coding RNA from Paramuricea clavata, 208 nucleotides. Lineage: Eukaryota; Metazoa; Cnidaria; Anthozoa; Malacalcyonacea; Plexauridae. The record is from the annotation of a GenBank genome assembly.
UUGCUGUAGUUGGUACGUGCUGUCGAGAAAAUAGCAGAGGAAAAUAUUUGAACUUGGAAGGUGUUGUGCGGAAUUGUGUGUGCGUUGCCAAGCGCAGAAUCUGGUAUUGCAAUAGCGAGUUCACCUAGUUGCUGUAGUGUUCACGUUAGAAAAGUAGUAGAGAAACUAUAUUUCAGCUUUGAGUUUGUGAUUUAGAGUUUCUUGUCCG